CCUACACGUUCGACAUGGUGUUCGGUCCGUCUGCGAAGCAGAUCGAAGUGUACCGGAGCGUCGUCUGUCCCAUCCUGGACGAGGUCAUCAUGGGGUACAACUGCACCGUGUUUGCCUACGGUCAGACAGGAACGGGAAAGACGUUCACCAUGGAGGGAGAGAGGAGCCCGGACGAGCAGUUCACCUGGGAGGAGGUGAGCUCUGCUUUAAAAUGGGCUCACUGGUUUACUGUUUGACCCUAAGCCUGCAUGUGGAUCUAAUUCAGAGUGUGAAUGAACUGAUCCUGCAGCAGCGUGCAUGAAGUAUAGGAAGGGGAAACGUCUUGACUGUCUAACAUUAAUGAACUUUUUCAGGUUUUAAAAUUCAGUUUUGUGAUCACAGUCCGACUGCAUCCAUCCUGAAUGUGCAUGAAUUGGCUUUAAAUAAUUCCCCGUGUCCGUUUUUAUGCACGUGGAUGUUGGACGUCUUGUUUUCAGAUCAUCAGUAGCUGCUCAGACCUGCUGCUCAUUUCAGUCUCGGGCUGUACUAGAGCAGCUUUGCUUGAUUCAUAGUUAAUAAUAAUCCUCCUUUGUCCUGUGCUGGGUCUCUGUACAGGCCUUC
Long non-coding RNA from Haplochromis burtoni (Burton's mouthbrooder), 600 nucleotides. RefSeq lists it as uncharacterized. The record is from RefSeq and is a predicted model, not a curated record. The transcript has 3 exons. NCBI's taxonomy places the organism in Eukaryota, Metazoa, Chordata, Actinopteri, Cichliformes, Cichlidae.